AACUGAAGGGGUGAACUAGAGGAGAAGAGGAUUAGCUGGCUGGUGUUUGGUUGUUCUGGAGUGAUCUUCUGACUGGAAAAGAACUAUGUCAUGGAUCAAGGAAGGAGAACUGUCACUUUGGGAGCGGUUCUGUGCCAACAUCAUAAAGGCAGGCCCAAUGCCAAAACACAUUGCAUUCAUAAUGGAUGGGAACCGUCGCUAUGCCAAGAAGUGCCAGGUGGAGCGGCAGGAAGGCCACUCACAGGGCUUCAACAAGCUAGCUGAGCUCCUUGCCUUCUCCCCUCUCAGACUCUGCGGUGGUGUUUGAACCUGGGCAUCCUAGAGGUGACGGUCUACGCAUUCAGCAUUGAGAACUUCAAACGCUCCAAGAGUGAGGUAGACGGGCUUAUGGAUCUGGCCCGGCAGAAGUUCAGCCGCUUGAUGGAAGAACAGGAGAAACUGCAGAAGCAUGGGGUGUGUAUCCGGGUCCUGGGCGAUCUGCACUUGUUGCCCUUGGAUCUCCAGGAGCUGAUUGCACAAGCUGUACAGGCCACGAAGAACUACAACAA
This 548-nucleotide small RNA is filed under the name Pongo abelii (Sumatran orangutan). Its description in RNAcentral is "retained intron". Lineage: Eukaryota; Metazoa; Chordata; Mammalia; Primates; Hominidae. The record is from RNAcentral.